RNAcentral lists this ribosomal RNA (472 nucleotides) under uncultured bacterium. RNAcentral's name for it is "partial 16S ribosomal RNA". It matches the Rfam family "Bacterial small subunit ribosomal RNA", at positions 28 to 523 of the family's 1533-position model. The record is from RNAcentral.
GACGAACGCUGGCGGCGUGCUUAACACAUGCAAGUCGAACGGGAGUAUUGAAGAAGCUUGCUUUAGAGAUACUUUAGUGGCGGACAGGUGAGUAACGCGUGAGGAGCUGUCCAAUGCAGGGGGACAACAGUUGGAAACGACUGCUAAUACCCCAUAAGCCGAGAGGUAAAAGGAUUUAUCCGGCAAUGGAGGUACUCGCGUCCUAUCAGCUAGUAGGUGAGGUAACGGCUCACCUAGGCGAAGACGGGUAGCCGGCCUGAGAGGGCGAACGGCCACACUGGAACUGAGAUACGGUCCAGACUCCUACGGGAGGCAGCAGUGGGGAAUAUUGGGCAAUGGGGGGAACCCUGACCCAGCGACGCCGCGUGGGUGAAGAAAUCCUUCGGGAUGUAAAGCCCUGUUGUAUGGGAAGAGCGGAAGACGGUACCAUACGAGGAAGCCCCGGCAAACUACGUGACAGCCGCCGCCGUAA